AUGACUCAUGUGCGUUUGAUGUGUCCCACUCUGGGAGAAAAGUACGGAGUAGCUAUUAUGCUUUCCUAGUAUCGACCGUACACCUUAUGUGUAACGGUCAUUAAGCACUCAAUAAAUCCAAAGAGAAUAAAAGUUACAGACGAACCUAAAGAUAAGAAUGAUAUGCAAGUGUGACUUGCAAAAGUACUAAUGAUAAAGAACUAUUUUGACUUUCCGAAAUGGAAUGAGGAAUAAGGAAAAAGUACUCCCAUACCGUUAACAGAUAACUUCAUUACAUAUGAAGUAAUCAGAUACAUGAAGUAGAUACUCAAAGUUUCCUCAAUUCACAAGAGUUGUGAAUGGUUUUUCGAAAUUGUGGCAGAAAAGUUCUUGCCACAUUUCGAGGGGGAGAAAGAAAUAUGAGAUAUCCAUUAAUGAAGAAUGUGAUCAUCUGGGGGAGUACGACGAUCAUAAUAAUACCCCUAAAGAAAAGAAAUAGAUGUAUUCCUGGAUCUUUUACAGUUCCGAAAGCAGACUAAGGAAUACUAAGACGGUGCUUAAAGUGCCAUAAAGAAAAUAAUACCCCUAAAGAAAAGAAAUAGAUGUAUUCCUGGAUCUUUUACAGUUCCGAAAGCAGACUAAGGAAUACUAAGACGGUGCUUAAAGUGCCAUAAAGAAGAAAGUUUUAACAGAAUAAACCCAAAUAAUAAAGUUUAAAGAUACGCCAUUUUUAGUAAAGAUGGAGUAAUCUGGGGGAGCAUGGUAUGAAAAUACCUAAGACUCGAAUAGAUUGUAUCUGGGGGAGCAUGUUGUAUGACUUAUACAACACCUGUUGUUAGCUCCAUAAAGGAGGAAUGAGUAAACAUGGAUCUUGUGAUACAGGUCCUGUAAUACCUAUUGCUUCUUGGAGAUGAAAGACUAUAGGAUCAAUUUGCCUGUUAGUGGCACAUCAUGAUCGACAUCAUGAUCUGAGUUACAUCAGAUGAAAGUAAAGAACACAAGGGAUACUUCUUCAAGAAGUCUUUUGUGGACUAGAGCAAGUCUCUAGACAGUGGCAUUUAAAGUUAGAAGAAUCAGAUGUUUUUUGGGUUAAAGAAAAUGAGAAGACAAUUGUAUUCAUGCAAAGUUAUAGAACGGGAAAUUUAUUUCCUAAUCCUGUGCAUGUGCAUGACGUCCUACUUGCUAAUGGUGAUGUCAAUCUACUGCAGCAGGAGAAAAGAAGUUCUUGUUCUCAAAGUUCAAAAGAAUGUUCUCAGUAGAGUGACUCUCGUUAUAAUUAUUGAGAUUCACCAAGAAAAAAAAGGAGGGGGGGGGUAUUAGGAGUGUCGCAUGAGCAUACUUUGAAAAGUCUCUAAAGUAUGCAUGUGAGAAAACCUACGCCUGUUCUUAUAGUAAAGGGUAAUGAUUUUGGGAACUUUAGUGUUCCAAGAGUCAAUGUGAAAUAGACCAAAUGAAUAUGGUACCAUAUGCUUCAGCUGUUGGAAGCUUUAUGAAUGCAAAAGUGUAACAUUACCGUGACAUAGUUCACAUAUCCGGGUUGUUUUGGCAAUGUCCAGUACAUAUUUAAAUUGAUGGAAUGGAGUCAAAGAUAUCGGCCUCAUGCUGAAAGAAACAAGUGCUCUCAAAAGGUUGUGAGUACAAAGAUAAAAACUUGUGAAAUGUACAGCGAAAUCCACAAUUGUCGUUGACCUUCACAUUAGGAGUUUUUGUGUGGAAGAACUCUAUAGAAUGAAUCAUUUAUCAUCAAUGUGAUGCAAAUAUAAAGUAUAGCAUGAUAUGAGGCUGAGGGACAGGCAAAAUCGUUAUGGAAACCUGUACCCGGAGUUGAUAAUGGUUGACAGCAGCGAUAACCAUUUAAGUAAUUCACUCCUAUGACAACGAGUCAAGUGUGGUGCCAAACACAUUGACACAAAGUUGUACGUUGUUAAGGAGAAAAGUCCGGAAUUAUGUUGAAAUGCUUGGAGCAUAAAAGCAACAAACAAGUUUUUGCAGAUCUGCUUAUUAAAGGCUUACCGCCCAGUGUGUUUGGAGAACACACAGUCGACAUGGGUUUUAUGGUAUAGUCUAAAAUUUCCGGACAAUAAAAGGGCCCAAGGUUAAAGAAUUUGUUUCAAAACUGAGAGGUACGUUGUGGCUGUCUGAUUCUAUCGGCAAUUGAGCUGUGACGAUGAAACAUGUUCUAUGUACUGAUCUUUUAUGAAACGAGUAAAGUAAAAGUAUAAGGUCAAAAGUAAAAGUUGAGAUCAAGGGGGAGAAUGUUAGGAUGAUCUCCACCGUGUGGGCCCAACGGCCCACCGGGCCCUUAGAUCCGCGCCCUGAUCGGGGGCGCUCAACCCACUAUGGUUGACGGCCCCCUGUCACCUGCACUAUAUAUAUAAAGAGGUGGGGUAGGCGGCUCGAAUUACGAGGUUCGUCACAACACCGUACACCCCACCUAAUCCCCUACCGAUUUAGGGUUAGUGCAGUGCUGAUGGGAAGCACCGCCACCGCUACUUUCUGCCAUCACCGGCCGUCACCAUGGACGGCACCGGGAGCUCCUCGCCACAAGGCUAAGGUACACACUGAAUAUAGAUUAUAUCCCACUGAUCUACUCCUAGUUGAUCCAGUAAGUUUAUCAUGACGUACUUAAGAUUCACGUAUUUAAAUAUGUGUGGUCUGGUUAUGUGUAUCAUAUGUCUUUUACCAUUUGAGUUUCACAUUUGAUUCCUUUCAUUUCCAGUGUGAUACAUAAAUGAUUGGGGCUUUCCAAUUUGGUGCUGAAAUUUAAGCAGCCACUUCAAUUUAGUGCUAUUCGGCACUGAGAUGCAAUGUAACCAAUUACAGAGCUUUAAUUCAUGAUAGACGAAAAUCGCAGAAUGGUGCAUGUUGUGAUUAAUCAAGUCAUUGGCUUCCCAACGAUGUAUUAUUGGGUCACUUGUGUAGUGUUUAACAUGCCCAUGGGAAUCAAUCAUGUGAUCCUGUGGCUUUCGUGUUGUUCACCUCACCACAUUUGAUGGAUGUCCAGGAGUGGUUCUGGCUAGAUGGGUAAUUUAUUCACCCAUUGUUCUUGUUCUUAUUUGUUUCUUAUGGUGUUGCUAAGUGUACUCAUAAUUAUUCACAAUUACAUGUAAACAUAUUUUGCCAUCCUUUAAGUUUAUCAUUUUUCCCACUGAAAACUGUAGGGCAAUUAUAACGCUGUCUUUUGUAUUAGUUAUGCGCUUAUCCUGCUAUGUAGGUAUAGGAGUUACAUAUUUCGAAUUCGCGCGUGUUAGUUACACAGGUAAGUUUUGCCUUACAAGUAACAUGCUUUCUAGAAUCUUGCUUCCUUUUUAUCAGUUAUUUUGCACUCCGUCUCACUAGAAUCUUCCUUCCUUUUUGUAAUGACUACGUAUUUUGCACUCCGUCUCACACCUUCUUUUCUUUCAUUGGAUCUUACUCUCAAGUUGUCCAAGGUAAUGAUUUUCAGUAUCUCACUGCCCUUAGGAGGGGCUCAUCACAUUUGCUCCUGAUUCCAUGUUGCCAUUUCUAUACAUUAUUUUUGGUUAAUCAAUUUUUGUUCUUCUGACAAGUGCCACUAUUGGCAACUAUCUUCAGUGCUUCUCAAAUGAUGAUAAUUAAAUAAACCUCCCUUGCAAAGAUGGAAAAGACCAUUUAAUUGUUAAUUAGAAGUUGGGAGAAUAUUGUAACCAUUCGCUGGCAGGUUGAUCAAAGAGUUGUCAUCAUGAUUAUUCGCUUAUUUUAAUAUCAAACAUUUUGAGAGGUAUAUCAAUCAUGGUAAGUUUCUUAGCCUCUUCACAUUGCACGCAUAAUAUCUUUUGCUUUCCUAGGAAUAUGAUAAAUCCAUGACUAGGAUAAACACUGAUAUGUUGAGAUCCCUACUUUUACUAAUAUCCUACUUCUACUGAUGCCACUUUCAACUGAUAUUUAUUCAUGGCUUAAGAUGAACGAUACAUUAUGCAUUGCAUAUGAACCAUAAUUUUGCUGCAGCUUUAGUUGAUAAUCGACAAUAAAAUAUUUCUAUAGUAAUUUGUUGAAUUCUGGAGUAAGCAUGAAAUGCAUUUGCAUGACCUGAGAUUCGCCAAUGUGCUCCUAUUUUUCAAAUAGGAAGGAAUGAAAAGGUGGUUCAGAAUUGAUGGAUAUUCUCCCCCAUGCUUGUUUACAUGUGGCCAUGUUUGUUGCUUAUAUCUCCAUACUUAUGUGUAUUAAUCAGACAUUUGCUCUUUUCUGUUUGUAGACAACUGGAGUGUGUCCUUUGCAUUCACUGCACAUCAGUGCAGUCCAAAUAUUAUAUGCAAUCAAGAAAAAUGGAAAAUAUUAAAUAUUACGAGUCAGAUAUCAGAUGCUGGUGUCAGGCAGUGGGCAAAUGGAGAAUGGAGACGAUGACGCUGCGGUCCAUGGAGCUGUUCGUGACGCACGAUCACGCGGCGAAGGAGCAAGCGGAUUCUCAGCUGACAUGGUUGCAGCUGGAGGAACACCCCGCGUGGUUGAGCAGGGGCACACUUUUGAGAGGUUCGUGUACUUUGUGAGCACAUUGGACAUGCUGGAGAUGGUGAAUAUAUUCUAUGCUAAAAUGUUUCAUCUAGAUGGGGCUAACAAACGUCAAACCUAACUCAUGCCCACAUAUAUAUCUCAUGUAGUGAACUCUAGAUGGAGCCUUGGUAAUACUUUUGUGUGUGAUAUCCCACGUACUGAAUUUCAAGCCUUCGAAUGCUCUUGUGUCACAUAUAGCUUCUCUUUGUUAGCUUCAUUUCCUUUUGGAUUUGGAUUGUCUAACUGAAUUAUGCUCUGUGUGACUCUAAUCACAUAUACUACUUCCUAUAGUGAAUCUGAUUCUCUGUUGUAUACUAACUGUAUUGGUGCCCAGAGGGCCUGAUAUUUGUUCGUCGUCCGAACAAUCUCACCUACUGACAUAUGGAUUUUCUGACAUUGAUCUUGCCUCUAACUCAAGGCAAUGUUCAUCUUCACAAGUAACAGGCAUAGUAGCGCAGAGGGCUGUGCGAGGAGGCGUGGAAAGGCAUGUUCAACGAGUAAUGAACUCUGUCCGACUAAGACAUGUGCUGGUAUGUAAAAUGGACGCACGUGACGAGUCGGGGCACUCAAACAAGACAAGUGCGCACAGGAACGCUUCAGGAGGUGCGCCUGGGGCGCACCCCAACCACUAGUAGAUGACAAGCAACAAUUGGAUCAUCAAUGAAGGUGUGGCGGCAUGUCGCGUACUACACAUAUCUUGUACUUGUCCUCAAUAGGAUGAUGGUGUCAUAUUUCAUAAGCAAAUAGUAGGUAGGAGAUCAUAUAUGCAAUUAUUUAUAUGUGCAAAAUAUAUUAGCAUGAGUAGUAGAUACACUUGUACAGAUAUUGCCUUUUCCAUUUAUACCUUUUAUAGUUGUAUAUGGGGCAUGAGUUGGCAAACAGUACAUCCUUUUCGUAUGCAUUUUAUUCAUCCCAUCAGUGUUUCUAAAACUACUUUGCUACGUUUUUAUUUAACUACUACUCCCUCCGUCCGAAAAAGCUUAUCCCUCAAAUGGAUGUAUCUAGCACUGGUGCUAGAUACAUCCAUUUGAGGAACAAGUAUGGGACAAGCUUUUUCAGACGGAGGGAGUACUAUAAAAUACUACUCCCUCCGUUUCUACAUAUAAGUUUUUUUUUUAAGAUUUCAAUACGAAUUACAUAGGUAUGUAUAUAAACGUAUUUUACAAUAUAGAUUCACUCACUUUUAAACGGACCGAGUACUAAAGUACUGACUUCGGUGGGUGAUCUAUCCUCUGGAUCCAUCCAGAGCUUAUCUCUUCACAUGGAUACACGGUAGCUGACCACAUCCACUUCCAACCUUAUCUCUUCGAGGCAGCUAGUGCUGUAGUCCUUGUUCGUCAAAACUGAGACAAAUGGAGGAAGGCAGGAAGGGUAGGUGAGGUGCUGGUGCUGGCCGCAUGGCUGGUACUGGCCGUUGGGCGACGUAGUGUGGCGGGGCUGGAGGGAGCAGCUGCUGGGUGGUGCUCGGCCUCGACGGCCUGGCCUCGGCCGUUCUUGCCGUCGGCCUCGUCCUCGGCGCCGAUUCUUCCCCAUCCAUGGCGCCAAGCCAAGCGUGUGUUCCUGCUCCUCUUUAUUCCUGUGGCGUCGAUUUCCGCGCCAGCGCUUUGGUCAAAGCCGAGACAAAUGAAGAUGGAGGUGUAGGGGAGGUGCUGGCCAGAUGGCUCGUAAGCAGCUGAAUCUGACCGCGUCAGUCGGCGGUCGAGCAGACAGCAGCAACUGCGCUGCUCCUGCUCGUUGGAGUGGCGCCCGUGGCAACACCACCGCCGCGGCUGCACCCCUGCCGGCCUCGGGAACCUCCAUGGCUGACCUCACACAGCGCCGCCCCGUUCUGGCCUCAAACGCGCAGUCCCGCGCCAUUCCUCUCCACCUUGCACCGCCGUGGCCUUCACUUGCCUCCUGCCUGUACUCCCAGCCACGGCGACCUCCUCCUCCGUGGUUGAGAACCCCAUCGCCUCGGCUGACCUCUCGUGGGUGCUGCCAUGUUCGAGUAGUACAAGCUCCACUCCGCUCUCCUCGAACGACGCUACCGCCACAACCUCUGCUCCGGCGAGCCCUACGUCCCCUCCUGCAGCUUUCGAAUCACCAUGGCCACGGCCUCGGCGCUGCUCUUCCUCCAUCCAUGGCAAGCGCAGCCAAGCCUGUACCUGCUCCUCGUCUUCACUUCCCUGGCACCUCCAGCAGGCACAUCCCACGAUCUGGCAGACGCCGGAGCUGCGAGGUGGGAGGAGGGGAGGGGGAGGGCUGGCGCGGCGAAGGAGGUCCUGGGCGAGGGAGGCGCGGACGGCGGCGAAGAGAAGGGCCGCCGGGAGUGGUCGCGAGUCGACCACCUCGCAGUCGCCGGGGAUCUGGAGGCCGGCCGGCGGAGAUCACCAUAUCUGUUUUCUAUUUCCAUCAGGCGGCGGAUGCGGUGGGUUGGGGGCGACGGGGGUGUUGCGUCCGUCCGGGUCCUAUGAACGAGCGAUUCGUUUUUUUACUGUACGAAUAUCUUAAAUCGGGAGUGCGGGUUAAUUGCACGAAAUAGCACGGGCUUUUCCGCAAAAAGCACGACGACGGUGAGAGAGCCGGAGUAUAUAUAAAUUAGGGAUUAGGGAUAGGGAUUAGGGAUUAGGGAUUAGGGAAAGAUAGCGGUCACUUUUAUCCACUAACCAGGAGUAUGAAAUUACCCAAAAUAGGGACAUGUAGUUUUGAUCUCUGUCACAACCUUUUUUUACUCCCUACUAUUUUUUCCUAAUAUACAUAUGAGAAACAAUUUAUUUUUUUAGUUUUGAUCUCUUUCACAGCCUUUUUCUUAACUCCUACUAAUUUGUUCCCGAUAUAUAUAUACCAUGAGAAAAAAUUUAUUUAUUUAUGGCGGUCACUUUUAUCCUCCAACCAGGAGUGUUAAAAUGCCCAAAAAUAGGAACAUGUAUUUUUUUAUCUAUGUCGCAGCCUUUUUUUUAACUCCUACUAUUUUUCCUGAUAUACAUACGAGAAACAAUUUAUUUAUUUAUUUAUUUAUAGCAGUCACUUUUAUCCUCCAACUAGGAGUAUGAAAAUGCCCAAAAUAGGGACAUGUAGUUUUGAUCACUGUCACAAUCUUUUUUUACCCCCUACUAAUUUUUUCCUGAUAUAUAUACAAGAAAUAAUUUAUUAUUUAGUUUUGAUCUCUUUUGCAGCCUUUUUUUUAACUCCUACUAAUUUUUUCCAGAUAUAUACGUAUAUACCAUGAGAAACAGUUUAUUUAUUUAUGGCGGUCAUUUUUAUCCUCCAACCAGGAGUGUUAAAAUGCCCAAAAAUAGGAACAUGUAUUUUUUAUAUAUGCCAUAGUUUUUUAACUCCUACUAUUUUUUCCUGAUAUAUAUACAAGUUAUUUAUUUA
Molecule: long non-coding RNA, 7845 nt
Organism: Aegilops tauschii subsp. strangulata
Lineage: Eukaryota; Viridiplantae; Streptophyta; Magnoliopsida; Poales; Poaceae
Source: RefSeq, a predicted model, not a curated record